GGGUUGUGAGGUUAAGCGACUAAGCGUACACGGUGGAUGCCCUGGCAGUCAGAGGCGAUGAAGGACGUGCUAAUCUGCGAUAAGCGUCGGUAAGGUGAUAUGAACCGUUAUAACCGGCGAUUUCCGAAUGGGGAAACCCAGUGUGAUUCGUCACACUAUCAUUAACUGAAUCCAUAGGUUAAUGAGGCGAACCGGGGGAACUGAAACAUCUAAGUACCCCGAGGAAAAGAAAUCAACCGAGAUUCCCCCAGUAGCGGCGAGCGAACGGGGAGCAGCCCAGAGCCUGAAUCAGUGUGUGUGUUAGUGGAAGCGUCUGGAAAGGCGCGCGAUACAGGGUGACAGCCCCGUACACAAAAAUGCACAUGCUGUGAGCUCGAUGAGUAGGGCGGGACACGUGGUAUCCUGUCUGAAUAUGGGGGGACCAUCCUCCAAGGCUAAAUACUCCUGACUGACCGAUAGUGAACCAGUACCGUGAGGGAAAGGCGAAAAGAACCCCGGCGAGGGGAGUGAAAAAGAACCUGAAACCGUGU
RNAcentral lists this ribosomal RNA (530 nucleotides) under Escherichia coli. Its description in RNAcentral is "bacterial LSU rRNA". It matches the Rfam family "Bacterial large subunit ribosomal RNA", at positions 1 to 561 of the family's 2925-position model. The record is from RNAcentral. Lineage: Bacteria; Pseudomonadati; Pseudomonadota; Gammaproteobacteria; Enterobacterales; Enterobacteriaceae.